This 216-nucleotide ribosomal RNA is filed under the name Glomeromycotina sp. RNAcentral's name for it is "partial small subunit ribosomal RNA". The stretch from base 38 to 216 matches the Rfam family "Eukaryotic small subunit ribosomal RNA", at positions 684 to 864 of the family's 1831-position model. The record is from RNAcentral. Lineage: Eukaryota; Fungi; Glomeromycota.
GGGUCAGUAGGUUGGUAGUGCCACCGGUACGUACUGGUGUCACUGAUUCCUCCUUCCUGAAGAACCGUAAUGCCAUUAAUUUGGUGUUGCGGGGAAACAGGACUGUUACUUUGAAAAAAUUAGAGUGUUUAAAGCAAGCUAACGAUUGAAUACAUUAGCAUGGAAUAAUGAAAUAGGACGAUCGAUCCUAUUUUGUUGGUUUCUAGGAUUGACGUA